This 253-nucleotide ribosomal RNA is filed under the name uncultured bacterium. Its description in RNAcentral is "partial 16S ribosomal RNA". It matches the Rfam family "Bacterial small subunit ribosomal RNA", at positions 524 to 776 of the family's 1533-position model. The record is from RNAcentral.
UACGGGGGGGGCAAGCGUUGUUCGGAAUUACUGGGCGUAAAGGGUUCGUAGGUGGCCACUUAAGUCAGACGUGAAAUCCCUCAGCUUAACUGGGGAACUGCGUCUGAUACUGAGUGGCUUGAGUGCAGGAGAGGGAUGCGGAACUCCAGGUGUAGCGGUGAAAUGCGUAGAUAUCUGGAGGAACACCGGUGGCGAAGGCGGCAUCCUGGACUGUAACUGACACUGAGGAACGAAAGCCAGGGGAGCAAACGGG